UCAAUUUGUUUCAUGGCAUGUCCUAGAAUCGCUACAAUUAUGAAACUAUAAUGACAAAAUUGACAAAAUUAAAACUACAAGGACAAAAGUGAAAAAACUGAUAGGCUACAUGAAUCAAAAGUGACCUUUUUCUUUUUUACAAUCAACCCGAAAAUAACAACACAAAAGAAAAGAAAAAAAACACAAAAAACUAUGUUUUAAAGGGGUAUUCAAUUGAAAUCUAGGUCUAAAAUAUCGAUGGUUUCGAAAUAUUGGUGGUCC
RNAcentral lists this long non-coding RNA (261 nucleotides) under Prunus persica (peach). RNAcentral describes it as "long non-coding RNA (PPER_LNC006932)". Lineage: Eukaryota; Viridiplantae; Streptophyta; Magnoliopsida; Rosales; Rosaceae. The record is from RNAcentral.